CGAGCGAGCUUGCCUAGAUGAUUUUAGUGCUUGCACUAAAUGAAACUAGAUACAAGCGAGCGGCGGACGGGUGAGUAACACGUGGGUAACCUGCCCAAGAGACUGGGAUAACACCUGGAAACAGAUGCUAAUACCGGAUAACAACACUAGACGCAUGUCUAGAGUUUGAAAGAUGGUUCUGCUAUCACUCUUGGAUGGACCUGCGGUGCAUUAGCUAGUUGGUAAGGUAACGGCUUACCAAGGCAAUGAUGCACAGCCGAGUUGAGAGACUGAUCGGCCACAUUGGGACUGAGACACGGCCCAAACUCCUACGGGAGGCAGCAGUAGGGAAUCUUCCACAAUGGACGAAAGUCUGAUGGAGCAACGCCGCGUGAGUGAAGAAGGGUUUCGGCUCGUAAAGCUCUGUUGGUAGUGAAGAAAGAUAGAGGUAGUAACUGGCCUUUAUUUGACGGUAAUUACUUAGAAAGUCACGGCUAACUACGUGCCAGCAGCCGCGGUAAUACGUAGGUGGCAAGCGUUGUCCGGAUUUAUUGGGCGUAAAGCGAGUGCAGGCGGUUCAAUAAGUCUGAUGUGAAAGCCUUCGGCUCAACCGGAGAAUUGCAUCAGAAACUGUUGAACUUGAGUGCAGAAGAGGAGAGUGGAACUCCAUGUGUAGCGGUGGAAUGCGUAGAUAUAUGGAAGAACACCAGUGGCGAAGGCGGCUCUCUGGUCUGCAACUGACGCUGAGGCUCGAAAGCAUGGGUAGCGAACAGGAUUAGAUACCCUGGUAGUCCAUGCCGUAAACGAUG
RNAcentral lists this ribosomal RNA (788 nucleotides) under uncultured bacterium. RNAcentral's name for it is "bacterial SSU rRNA". It matches the Rfam family "Bacterial small subunit ribosomal RNA", at positions 50 to 811 of the family's 1533-position model. The record is from RNAcentral.